This 444-nucleotide ribosomal RNA is filed under the name uncultured Pseudomonas sp. RNAcentral's name for it is "bacterial SSU rRNA". It matches the Rfam family "Bacterial small subunit ribosomal RNA", at positions 937 to 1382 of the family's 1533-position model. Lineage: Bacteria; Pseudomonadati; Pseudomonadota; Gammaproteobacteria; Pseudomonadales; Pseudomonadaceae. The record is from RNAcentral.
GCAUGUGGUUUAAUUCGAAGCAACGCGAAGAACCUUACCAGGCCUUGACAUGCAGAGAACUUUCCAGAGAUGGAUUGGUGCCUUCGGGAACUCUGACACAGGUGCUGCAUGGCUGUCGUUAGCUCGUGUCGUGAGAUGUUGGGUUAAGUCCGUAACGAGCGCAACCCUUGUCCUUAGUUACCAGCACGUAUGGUGGGCACUCUAAGGAGACUGCCGGUGACAAACCGGAGGAAGGUGGGGAUGACGUCAAGUCAUCAUGGCCCUUACGGCCUGGGCUACACACGUGCUACAAUGGUCGGUACAAAGGGUUGCCAAGCCGCGAGGUGGAGCUAAUCCCAUAAAACCGAUCGUAGUCCGGAUCGCAGUCUGCAACUCGACUGCGUGAAGUCGGAAUCGCUAGUAAUCGUGAAUCAGAAUGUCACGGUGAAUACGUUCCCGGGCCUU